UAAUAUAAUAAUUAUCACGAUCUCACCGAUUGUGGAAUUGGGCUCUUAUUUCGAACAGAUUUAUGGCCUUAAAUUUACGCCAUGCGAUUAAUUCGAACCAAGCGGAGCAAUUAAACAUUCUCUCGUGGACGGAUUACUCGCAAGCCAUUACGGUUUUUUGGACGACAAAGCGCUUUCGCGAGCGCGAAGCCCAAAGGACGUAAAUUCAUUGAC
Molecule: unclassified non-coding RNA, 213 nt
Filed under: uncultured Entrophospora
Lineage: Eukaryota; Fungi; Glomeromycota; Glomeromycetes; Entrophosporales; Entrophosporaceae
Description: uncultured Claroideoglomus partial internal transcribed spacer 2
Source: RNAcentral